Molecule: ribosomal RNA, 253 nt
Filed under: uncultured bacterium
Lineage: Bacteria
Description: partial 16S ribosomal RNA
Rfam family: Bacterial small subunit ribosomal RNA
Source: RNAcentral
UACGUAGGGGGCAAGCGUUGUCCGGAAUGACUGGGCGUAAAGGGCGUGUAGGCGGCGAUCUAAGUUAGGAGUGAAAGUCCAGCUUUUAAGGUUGGAAUUGCUUUUAAUACUGGAUGGCUUGAGUGCGGAAGAGGUAAGUGGAAUUCCCAGUGUAGCGGUGAAAUGCGUAGAGAUUGGGAGGAACACCAGUGGCGAAGGCGACUUACUGGGCCGUAACUGACGCUGAGGCGCGAAAGCGUGGGGAGCGAACAGG